This 323-nucleotide ribosomal RNA is filed under the name uncultured eukaryote. Its description in RNAcentral is "partial 18S ribosomal RNA". It matches the Rfam family "Eukaryotic small subunit ribosomal RNA", at positions 1470 to 1796 of the family's 1831-position model. The record is from RNAcentral.
CCCUUAGAUGUUCUGGGCCGCACGCGCGCUACACUGACGAAUGCAACGAGCUUAUAACCUUGGCCGAAAGGUCUGGGUAAUCUCCAAAUUUCGUCGUGAUGGGGAUAGAUUAUUGCAAUUAUUAAUCUUCAACGAGGAAUGCCUAGUAAGCGCAAGUCAUCAGCUUGCGUUGAUUACGUCCCUGCCCUUUGUACACACCGCCCGUCGCACCUACCGAUUGAAUGGUCCGGUGAAAUCUCCGGACUGGCGUGAGUCGGAGCAAUCUGACAAACGCCGGAAAGUUGAUUAAACCUUACCAUUUAGAGGAAGGUGAANUCGUAACA